Molecule: ribosomal RNA, 500 nt
Filed under: uncultured bacterium
Lineage: Bacteria
Description: partial 16S ribosomal RNA
Rfam family: Bacterial small subunit ribosomal RNA
Source: RNAcentral
AUUGAACGCUGGCGGCAGGCCUAACACAUGCAAGUCGAGCGGUUGACGGGAGCUUGCUCCCUGAUUCAGCGGCGGACGGGUGAGUAAUGCCUAGGAAUCUGCCUAUUAGUGGGGGACAACGUUUCGAAAGGAACGCUAAUACCGCAUACGUCCUACGGGAGAAAGCAGGGGACCUUCGGGCCUUGCGCUAAUAGAUGAGCCUGGGUCGGAUUAGCUUGUUGGUGAGGUAAUGGCUCACCAAGGCGACGAUCCGUAACUGGUCUGAGAGGAUGAUCAGUCAAACUGGAACUGGGACACGGUCCAGACUCCUACGGGAGGCAGCAGUGGGGAAUAUUGGACAAUGGGCGAAAGCCUGAUCCAGCCAUGCCGCGUGUGUGAAGAAGGUCUUCGGAUUGUAAAGCACUUUAAGUUGGGAGGAAGGGUUGUAGAUUAAUACUCUGCAAUUUUGACGUUACCGACAGAAUAAGCACCGGCUAACUCUGUGCCAGCAGCCGCCGUAA